AUGCACGCUGGCGGCGUGCCUCAUACCUGCAAGUCGCGCGCACAGAUAAGGAGCUUGCUCCUUUGACGUUAGCGGCGGACGGGUGAGUAACACGUGGGUAACCUACCUAUAAGACUGGGAUAACUUCGGGAAACCGGAGCUAAUACCGGAUAACAUUUGGAACCGCAUGGUUCUAAAGUGAAAGAUGGUUUUGCUAUCACUUAUAGAUGGACCCGCGCCGUAUUAGCUAGUUGGUAAGGUAACGGCUUACCAAGGCAACGAUACGUAGCCGACCUGAGAGGGUGAUCGGCCACACUGGAACUGAGACACGGUCCAGACUCCUACGGGAGGCAGCAGUAGGGAAUCUUCCGCAAUGGGCGAAAGCCUGACGGAGCAACGCCGCGUGAGUGAUGAAGGGUUUCGGCUCGUAAAACUCUGUUAUUAGGGAAGAACAAAUGUGUAAGUAACUGUGCACGUCUUGACGGUACCUAAUCAGAAAGCCACGGCUAACUACGUG
Molecule: ribosomal RNA, 496 nt
Filed under: uncultured bacterium
Lineage: Bacteria
Description: partial 16S ribosomal RNA
Rfam family: Bacterial small subunit ribosomal RNA
Source: RNAcentral